UCGCCUGCCACGCGGGAGGCCCGGGU
This 26-nucleotide non-coding RNA is filed under the name Drosophila erecta. The record is from RNAcentral. RNAcentral also lists the same sequence under 8 other names. Lineage: Eukaryota; Metazoa; Arthropoda; Insecta; Diptera; Drosophilidae.